Procambarus clarkii (red swamp crayfish) is the source of this 509-nucleotide non-coding RNA. Lineage: Eukaryota; Metazoa; Arthropoda; Malacostraca; Decapoda; Cambaridae. The record is from RefSeq and is a predicted model, not a curated record.
GGGAAGGGAUUUUAACAAAUAUCCAAAUUUUUUUUAUAAAGAACACUUCAUUUUUGGCGCACCACCAAUUUGUCACAAUAACAGCAGCACAGCACUGGAGUUAAUUCUUGUAAUCACCACAUUAUUUUAGGAUCUUAAGCAGGCUUAACAGAGGCUGACACAUCCAUAUGUUCUGUUUUACCUAUCAUGUCUAUAUAUAUUGUUUUUCAUUGAUUUCAGGCUCGUUGCUCUUCAUCGACCUCAUGGGGGUCGAAACAAUGGAUGACGUUUCAGGUACGACGUCAACCCACGAGGAGAUGAAGAGCGGGAGCAAAACACUCUCAUUUUUGAGAGCGUUUCUCAUGGAUAUGGCCAGCAAGGGUUCCAGCACCUCAUACAGAAAUAGUCCACUGACAGUGUCACAAAUCAAGAUCCUGUAUUUCAUCAGGCCAACAAAAUUAUCUAGACGAAUAACUCUAGAUAUUUUAGAGUUUUCAAAAAAACUCCAAAAAUAACAAGAUCACAGAAAA